AUGGCUCCCACCUCACUCGGAAUAAAACUUGGAUUCUUCUGGAUUAUUCUUCCAGGCCCUGCAUCAUCUGGCCUUGCCUCUGACCUCAUCUCCCAUUACUCGCUUUAUUCUAGACUCACCAUUUGUUCCUAUGAACCCAACAUCCCAACGUCCUACCUAAGAGCCUUUGAACUUGCCUGGUUGAUGCUUCUCCUUCAAACUGGUGCCAAGUGAGAAGUUAUUACUCUUUCCAGGCUGGCUGCUCCCUCUCCAGUCUACAACUGACUCUCAAAUUAUGCUGAUACAAAAAACUCAGAGGAAAAACAGAGACGCUAAGGUAGACACAGCAAGGCACUGUGGACCGCCGAGUCCCCAAGCCCUCUGACACCGGUCACUGGCAGGAGGACUGGGGCUUCGGUUCUGAGUGAACCGUGAGCAUUCAUAAAGGGGAAGAUCCUGAGAGAGGCCUCUCUGAUGCAUCCGAAUGUGGUUUGUUAACCGGGAAGGCUGUGUGGACGAACAGGUACCAGGAGCACCAGGGUGGCAUGAAGGACGCACAGACUCAGGACAAGAGAGACCCAGGCAUUUUCUGCUCUCUCGAUGUGUGACCUGAGCCUGUCCUCCCUUUGGCCACAAGUGGAGUUUGGGUUCUGGGGCACCAGCAAGCCGCUGGGGGAGG
This 658-nucleotide long non-coding RNA is filed under the name Ailuropoda melanoleuca (giant panda). Its description in RNAcentral is "lncRNA (ENSAMEG00000026510.1)". Lineage: Eukaryota; Metazoa; Chordata; Mammalia; Carnivora; Ursidae. The record is from RNAcentral.